This 138-nucleotide non-coding RNA is filed under the name Mycobacterium sp. Lineage: Bacteria; Bacillati; Actinomycetota; Actinomycetes; Mycobacteriales; Mycobacteriaceae. The record is from RNAcentral.
AGAGGGAACCCGGUGAGAAUCCGGGACUGUCCCGCAGCGGUGUACGGGAACGACCGCCGUCAAUGGCACUGGCCCCUCGGGCUGGGAAGCGACGGCCAGUAGGAGCACCUCGGUGCGCGCCUGUGAGUCCGAAGACCU